RNAcentral lists this non-coding RNA (21 nucleotides) under Caenorhabditis elegans. Lineage: Eukaryota; Metazoa; Nematoda; Chromadorea; Rhabditida; Rhabditidae. The record is from RNAcentral.
UCAGACCCAGUUGGUUUAGUU